This 980-nucleotide ribosomal RNA is filed under the name Enterococcus hirae. RNAcentral describes it as "bacterial SSU rRNA". It matches the Rfam family "Bacterial small subunit ribosomal RNA", at positions 107 to 1071 of the family's 1533-position model. Lineage: Bacteria; Bacillati; Bacillota; Bacilli; Lactobacillales; Enterococcaceae. The record is from RNAcentral.
UGAGUAACACGUGGGUAACCUGCCCAUCAGAAGGGGAUAACACUUGGAAACAGGUGCUAAUACCGUAUAACAAUCGAAACCGCAUGGUUUUGAUUUGAAAGGCGCUUUCGGGUGUCGCUGAUGGAUGGACCCGCGGUGCAUUAGCUAGUUGGUGAGGUAACGGCUCACCAAGGCGACGAUGCAUAGCCGACCUGAGAGGGUGAUCGGCCACAUUGGGACUGAGACACGGCCCAAACUCCUACGGGAGGCAGCAGUAGGGAAUCUUCGGCAAUGGACGAAAGUCUGACCGAGCAACGCCGCGUGAGUGAAGAAGGUUUUCGGAUCGUAAAACUCUGUUGUUAGAGAAGAACAAGGAUGAGAGUAACUGUUCAUCCCUUGACGGUAUCUAACCAGAAAGCCACGGCUAACUACGUGCCAGCAGCCGCGGUAAUACGUAGGUGGCAAGCGUUGUCCGGAUUUAUUGGGCGUAAAGCGAGCGCAGGCGGUUUCUUAAGUCUGAUGUGAAAGCCCCCGGCUCAACCGGGGAGGGUCAUUGGAAACUGGGAGACUUGAGUGCAGAAGAGGAGAGUGGAAUUCCAUGUGUAGCGGUGAAAUGCGUAGAUAUAUGGAGGAACACCAGUGGCGAAGGCGGCUUCUCUGGUCUGUAACUGACGCUGAGGCUCGAAAGCGUGGGGAGCAAACAGGAUUAGAUACCCUGGUAGUCCACGCCGUAAACGAUGAGUGCUAAGUGUUGGAGGGUUUCCGCCCUUCAGUGCUGCAGCUAACGCAUUAAGCACUCCGCCUGGGGAGUACGACCGCAAGGUUGAAACUCAAAGGAAUUGACGGGGGCCCGCACAAGCGGUGGAGCAUGUGGUUUAAUUCGAAGCAACGCGAAGAACCUUACCAGGUCUUGACAUCCUUUGACCACUCUAGAGAUAGAGCUUCCCCUUCGGGGGCAAAGUGACAGGUGGUGCAUGGUUGUCGUCAGCUCGUGUCGUGAG